Molecule: long non-coding RNA, 586 nt
Filed under: Bos taurus (domestic cattle)
Lineage: Eukaryota; Metazoa; Chordata; Mammalia; Artiodactyla; Bovidae
Description: long non-coding RNA NONBTAT011060
Source: RNAcentral
CUAUCAUGUUUUCAUUCAUAGUUAUUCAAAGAAUGAGUUUUAUAUAAUUCAUAAAGAAAAGAACAUGCAACAGUGUUAUGAAAGACAGAAAUAUAGGCAAAAAUAUAAAAGAAAUAGGGGUACAUUCCCAUUUAUUUGAAACAUUCAUAUGAAUUUGUUCCAAUGGCCUGGGCUUCCAAGAUGGCCAAGAGUAUGCAGGAAAAGUCAAGGAUCAACAAAAUUUGAAUUUGCAAACCAGCUGCACUUAAACAUCAGGUCUCUGAAUCUGCUUUUAGAGUUUGAUGAUAUAACAAAUUGCAUAAAAAAGCAAUUUCCUUGCAGUCUGUCUUAUUUCCUAUGAUUACUGACUUACUGAAUGUUUACCUUGCCUCUUGAUAAACUGUGAACCAAUACAAAGAAAAUUUCACUAACAUGGAAGAAAUGAAAGGGUGAAGAGCAUUUUGGCAACAAUUUAAAAUCCAAAGGGAAAGUAUAUUUUAACAAUUUAUUCAUUUAGCUUUGCAGCAAGGGUUAGCAGUAAGAGUAAUAAAUUCACUACUUAUUGAAAAGUGUUUUUCUCUUUAAAGACAGCUUGUCUUCUCUAGAG